This 605-nucleotide ribosomal RNA is filed under the name uncultured Candidatus Babelota bacterium. RNAcentral describes it as "bacterial SSU rRNA". It matches the Rfam family "Bacterial small subunit ribosomal RNA", at positions 917 to 1519 of the family's 1533-position model. The record is from RNAcentral.
GGGCCCGCACAAGCGGUGGAACAUGUGGUUUAAUUCGACACUACGCGAGAAACCUUACCUGGGUUUGACAUGCUAUUGACAGCCUUUAAAGGGGGUCUCCCAAAGAAAUUUGGGCAAUAGCACAGGUGCUGCAUGGCUGUCGUCAGCUCGUGUCGUGAGAUGUUGGGUUAAGUCCUUUAACGAGCGCAACCCCUGCUGUUAGUUGCGAGCUCCAAAAGAGCGCACUCUAGCAGGACUGCCUGGGAAACCAGGAGGAAGGUGGGGAUGACGUCAAGUCCUCAUGGCCCUUAUGUCCAGGGCUACACACGUGUUACAAUGGUUGGUACAAAGAGAUGCGAAAUCGCGAGGUGGAGCAAAUCUUAAAAAGCAAUCUAAGUUCGGAUUGAAGUCUGCAACUCGACUUCAUGAAGUUGAAAUCGCUAGUAAUCGUAUAUCAGAAUGAUACGGUGAAUACGUUCCCGGGCCUUGUACACACCGCCCGUCAAACUAUGGGAGUUAUCCGCACCCAAAGUCGCAGAGCCUAACCGCAAGGAAGGUGGCGCCUAAGGUGAGGGUGAUGACUGGAGUUAAGUCGUAACAAGGUAGCUGUAGGAGAACCUGCGGCU